Molecule: ribosomal RNA, 902 nt
Filed under: Cladosporium rectoides
Lineage: Eukaryota; Fungi; Ascomycota; Dothideomycetes; Cladosporiales; Cladosporiaceae
Description: LSU rRNA
Rfam family: Eukaryotic large subunit ribosomal RNA
Source: RNAcentral
UAGCAUAUCAAUAAGCGGAGGAAAAGAAACCAACAGGGAUUGCUCUAGUAACGGCGAGUGAAGCAGCAAUAGCUCAAAUUUGAAAUCUGGCGUCUUCGACGUCCGAGUUGUAAUUUGUAGAGGAUGCUUCUGAGUAACCACCGACCUAAGUUCCUUGGAACAGGACGUCAUAGAGGGUGAGAAUCCCGUAUGCGGUCGGAAAGGUGCUCUAUACGUAGCUCCUUCGACGAGUCGAGUUGUUUGGGAAUGCAGCUCUAAAUGGGAGGUAAAUUUCUUCUAAAGCUAAAUAUUGGCCAGAGACCGAUAGCGCACAAGUAGAGUGAUCGAAAGAUGAAAAGCACUUUGGAAAGAGAGUUAAAAAGCACGUGAAAUUGUUAAAAGGGAAGGGAUUGCAACCAGACUUGCUCGCGGUGUUCCGCCGGUCUUCUGACCGGUCUACUCGCCGCGUUGCAGGCCAGCAUCGUCUGGUGCCGCUGGAUAAGACUUGAGGAAUGUAGCUCCCUCGGGAGUGUUAUAGCCUCUUGUGAUGCAGCGAGCGCCGGGCGAGGUCCGCGCUUCGGCUAGGAUGCUGGCGUAAUGGUCGUAAUCCGCCCGUCUUGAAACACGGACCAAGGAGUCUAACAUCUAUGCGAGUGUUCGGGUGUCAAACCCCUACGCGUAAUGAAAGUGAACGGAGGUGAGAACCGCAAGGUGCAUCAUCGACCGAUCCUGAUGUCUUCGGAUGGAUUUGAGUAAGAGCAUAGCUGUUGGGACCCGAAAGAUGGUGAACUAUGCCUGAAUAGGGUGAAGCCAGAGGAAACUCUGGUGGAGGCUCGCAGCGGUUCCUGACGUGCAAAUCGAUCGUCAAAUUUGGGUAUAGGGGCGAAAGACUAAUCGAACCAUCUAGUAGCUGGUUCCUGCGA